RNAcentral lists this ribosomal RNA (104 nucleotides) under Limnatis paluda. Its description in RNAcentral is "partial 16S ribosomal RNA". Lineage: Eukaryota; Metazoa; Annelida; Clitellata; Hirudinida; Hirudinidae. The record is from RNAcentral.
AUAAAAUAAUUAUAAAUAAAAAUUUUAAUAAAUUUAAGAAAUUUUAUUUAUCAAUAUAUAGAGUACAGUAAUGGAAAUAAAUAAUAACUUUAAAGUAAUAUUUU